Molecule: ribosomal RNA, 460 nt
Filed under: uncultured bacterium
Lineage: Bacteria
Description: partial 16S ribosomal RNA
Rfam family: Bacterial small subunit ribosomal RNA
Source: RNAcentral
CCUACGGGCGGCAGCAGUGAGGAAUAUUGGUCAAUGGGCGCAAGCCUGAACCAGCCAAGUAGCGUGAAGGAUGACUGCCCUACGGGUUGUAAACUGCUUUUAUAAAGGAAUAAAGUUAGACACGUGUGCCUUGUUGUAAGUACUUUAUGAAUAAGGAUCGGCUAACUCCGUGCCAGCAGCCGCGGUAAUACGGAGGAUCCGAGCGUUAUCCGGAUUUAUUGGGUUUAAAGGGAGCGUAGAUGGGUUGUUAAGUCAGUGGUGAAAUGUUGCGGCUUAACCGUAGAACUGCAAUUGAUACUGGUAGCCUAGAGUACAGUUGAGGUAGGCGGAAUUCGUGGUGUAGCGGUGAAAUGCUUAGAUAUCACGAAGAACACCGAUUGCGAAGGCAGCCUACUAAACUGCCACUGACAUUGAUGCUCGAAAGUGUGGGGAUCAAACAGGAUUAGAUACCCGGGUAGUC